AAAGACCUGUCAAAUUUCAAGGUUCUGGAUGCUUCUGGAAAGAAAAAGAAUUAGAUUGUGGAAGGUGUAGGAGAGAGCGGAGGACUGCACAGCACUCACUACUAUGCCAUGACAAUCAGCAAAGCACAGAGGUAAGCACCAGAGCAACCAUGCACACUUCCAGCACAGGUAGCUGGUGCCCAACAAGCAGCUACAGACUCAAUGCACCACAAGGAAACCCAGGGAUGGCUUUUUAAGAACAGCGAGACAGGGGCGCCUGGGUGGCUCAGUCGGUUAGGCGUCCACCCGUGGAUCUCAGGGUCCUCGGAUUGAGCCCCACGUUGGGCUCUCUGCUUGGUGGGGAGUCUAUUUCUCUCCCUCCCUCUGACCUUCCUCCUCACUUCGGCUGUCAUAAAUAAGUAAAAUCUUUUUUAAAAAUGAAUAUUGAGAAAGAACAACAGCAAAAUAUUCCCAUAAAAUCCUAUUCAUGUCUCCCAAAGAGAAAUUCACACAUGUCCAUAAUGGAAUAAGGGAAAAUAGGAAAUAAAAUAAAAUAAUGGAAAAAGGGAAAAAAAUCG
This 557-nucleotide long non-coding RNA is filed under the name Vulpes vulpes (red fox). RNAcentral's name for it is "lncRNA (ENSVVUG00000019502.1)". Lineage: Eukaryota; Metazoa; Chordata; Mammalia; Carnivora; Canidae. The record is from RNAcentral.